UAAUCCACUGGUCCACCUG
RNAcentral lists this non-coding RNA (19 nucleotides) under Sclerotinia trifoliorum. Lineage: Eukaryota; Fungi; Ascomycota; Leotiomycetes; Helotiales; Sclerotiniaceae. The record is from RNAcentral.